Long non-coding RNA from Chelonia mydas (Green sea turtle), 354 nucleotides. RefSeq lists it as uncharacterized. The transcript has 3 exons. The record is from RefSeq and is a predicted model, not a curated record. NCBI's taxonomy places the organism in Eukaryota, Metazoa, Chordata, Testudines, Cheloniidae.
CCUGCAGUUGCUCCAAGAGGCGUCCAGGAAGAGGAGGAAACGCAGCAGGAGGAGACACGGGAUUAACAACCUAGCUGGGCUGAAGACGGAGCUUGUCAACUGUACAAAUGGGAUUCCAGGAUGGGGAGGCCCAGGAGAAGAUUCGAUGACCCAGAUGGGCCCGGCCCGGCCUGUGUUCCCAGCUCCCACCCUGAUGCCCGCGGGAGCAGCUUCCCUCCCCAUGGUGACCAGGCGGGUUUCCCAGGCAGGGAAAUCCCGUGUUACGCUGGUCCGCUCGUGUUUCCUGGGGAGGGUCAGGCAGGAAGGAAAAGGGAGCCAGGUCCCCCGAGGCUGCGCUCACCCAGGGAUGCCAGC